CAGUAGCCACGGGAAUACGUAGGGGGCAAGCGUUAUCCGGAAUUACUGGGUGUAAAGGGAGCGUAGACGGUUAAACAAGUCUGAAGUGAAAUGCCGGGGCUCAACCCCGGAGCUGCUUUGGGAACUGUAGAACUGGAGUGUCGGAGGGGUAAGCGGAAUUCCCAGUGUAGCGGUGAAAUGCGUAGAUAUUGGGAGGAACACCGGCGGCGAAGGCGGCUUACUGGACGACAACUGACGUUGAGGCUCGAAGGCGUGGGUAGCAAACAGGAUUAGAUACCCCAGUAGUCCCUGUCUCUUAUAC
Molecule: ribosomal RNA, 301 nt
Filed under: uncultured bacterium
Lineage: Bacteria
Description: partial 16S ribosomal RNA
Rfam family: Bacterial small subunit ribosomal RNA
Source: RNAcentral